UCUCAGGUGGCAGACGUGGGUCAGGUUCUGGAGAACAUCAACCUGUCGAAGAGGAAGGAGCUGCAGUGGCCCGACGAGACGAUGAGACUGAGAGCAGGACGGACCUGCUGGAGGGACUGGAGCCCCUCGGAGGGGAUGGAGGGACACGUGAUUCACCGGUGGGUGCCUUGUAGCCGAGACCCGGCCCAUCGCUCCCAUAUCGACAAGACCAUCCUGCUGGUUCAGGUGGACGAUAAGCUAGUGCCCAUUUUUGAGACUGGGGUCAUUGAGUUGGGUGCAGAGGUCUGAGACAAACACACACACACACACACACACACACACACACACUCGUACUUGUGUGUGAAGGAGAAGCAGGAUUCUGCAGACUGACAGGAAACGGGAGCUCUCCCCCCUCCCGCGUUCCUUAUAUCGCUGAGGGGGAAAAGGAAGCCAGGGAAAAGUGCAAGUCGAGGCAGAGCGUAGAUCCAUGUUUCCUGCAUCAUCCUCACAGUAUCUGCCUUGCUGCAUGACAGAGAAAGUUAAGUUAGUUCUGCUACUGGUGAUUAAUUUCUAUGCAUUUCAUCCAAUAUGUUCUUGGCAAGUCUGACAGAGAUGAGUGUAAAGAGACGUUGUUUUGUUUGUCUAAUUUGCCAAAUGAAGCCUGGUAUUGAAUAUCUGCCACGGCUUCUCACAAAACUUUCAUUAUUCUUUUUUUGCUGCCAAGACUUCAGAGGAAGCUCCGCCUUCUCGUUGUCGUCAUUCCUUUGGAUUUCAAACUUUUAGCAAGAUGAUUUUGCGCAAAGAAAAAACGACCUUGCACUAUAAUUUGUAUUUGUAUUUACAGUGAUGCACUACACUGUUGAGAUAAUGUCCCAUUUUAUUUAUUACGGACUCUGAAUGGCCAUGGUUACCGAUGCCUUGGGAA
Long non-coding RNA from Notothenia coriiceps (black rockcod), 904 nucleotides. RefSeq lists it as uncharacterized. The transcript has 2 exons. The record is from RefSeq and is a predicted model, not a curated record. Lineage: Eukaryota; Metazoa; Chordata; Actinopteri; Perciformes; Nototheniidae.